UACGUAGGGUGCAGGCGUUAAUCGGAAUUACUGGGCGUAAAGCGUGCGCAGGCGGUUUGCUAAGACCGGUGUGAAAUCCCCGGGCUUAACCUGGGAACUGCGCUUGUUACUGGCAGGCUUGAGUGUGGCAGAGGGGGGUGGAAUUCCACGUGUAGCAGUGAAAUGCGUAGAGAUCAGCAGGAACACCCGUGGCGAAGGCGGCCCCCUGGGCCGUACCUGACGCUGAGGCGCGAAGGCUAGGGGAGCGAACGGG
RNAcentral lists this ribosomal RNA (253 nucleotides) under uncultured bacterium. Its description in RNAcentral is "partial 16S ribosomal RNA". It matches the Rfam family "Bacterial small subunit ribosomal RNA", at positions 524 to 776 of the family's 1533-position model. The record is from RNAcentral.